RNAcentral lists this ribosomal RNA (492 nucleotides) under uncultured bacterium. RNAcentral's name for it is "partial 16S ribosomal RNA". It matches the Rfam family "Bacterial small subunit ribosomal RNA", at positions 29 to 507 of the family's 1533-position model. The record is from RNAcentral.
AUUGAACGCUGGCGGCAUGCUUUACACAUGCAAGUCGAACGGUAACAGGCCUUUGGGUGCUGACGAGUGGCGCACGGGGGAGUAAUGCAUCGGAACGUACCCAGAGGUGGGGGAUAACGCAGCGAAAGCUGUGCUAAUACCGCAUGUGAGCUGAGGAUGAAAGCGGGGGAGCGCGUAGCAAUGUUUGCCCUCGCGCCUUUGGAGCGGCCGAUGUCGGAUUAGCUAGUUGGUGGGGUAAAGGCCUACCAAGGCGACGAUCCGUAGCUGGUCUGAGAGGACGACCAGCCACACUGGGACUGAGACACGGCCCAGACUCCUACGGGAGGCAGCAGUGGGGAAUUUUGGACAAUGGGCGCAAGCCUGAUCCAGCAAUGCCGCGUGCGGGAAGAAGGCCUUCGGGUUGUAAACCGCUUUUGGCAGGAACGAAACGGUGUCCGCUAAUACCGGGCGCUAAUGACGGUACCUGCAGAAUAAGCACCGGCUAACUACGUG